Molecule: ribosomal RNA, 384 nt
Filed under: Gammarus lacustris
Lineage: Eukaryota; Metazoa; Arthropoda; Malacostraca; Amphipoda; Gammaridae
Description: partial 16S ribosomal RNA
Rfam family: Bacterial large subunit ribosomal RNA
Source: RNAcentral
GUGCUAAGGUAGCAUAAUCAUUUGCUGCUUAAUUGGUAGCUUGUAUGAAAGGUUGAACUAAUUCACUCAGUUUGUGGUGUUUACUAAGAAAUUAAAGUCAAGGUAAGAAUUCUUUGAUUUUCUGGGGGACGAUAAGACCCUAGAAGCUUAACAAGUAGUGUAUUUGUUAGUAAUAAAAAUUAGUUUGUUUUACUGGGGCGGUAAAGGUAUGUAAACUAUUAUGGUAGUGGUAGAUCCUUAAAAUAAAGAUAAAAUGGGAAAGUUACUCUAGGGAUAACAGUGCAAUAUUUUUGGAGAGAUCUUAUCGAUAAAAGUGUUUGCAACCUCGAUGUUGAAUUAAAUUGUCUACGUGAAGCAGCAGAUACGUAAGAGGGUUUGUUCAAC